UGGAACACCUCCUUUCUAGAGACAAAAAAAAGGAUGUGAUUUAAAAUUAAAUUUAAAUUAAAAUCUUACUCUCGCUGUUAAUUCAAAAAAAAGAAAAGGCUUAAAAUACAGAGUCUCGUAGCUCAGCUGGUUAGAGUACUACACUGAUAAUGUAGGGGUCGGCAGUUCGAGUCUGCCCGGGACUACUAUUUAAAGUUAUAAAAAAGGAAAUUCUAGAAGCGAAUUUUGAAUUAUAAAUUUUAAAUGAUGAAUUUGAAAAAUAAUUCAAAAAAAUAAUUCAACAUUCAAAAUAGACAAUGGGGGAUUAGCUCAGCUGGCUAGAGCGCCUGCCUUGCAC
Molecule: unclassified non-coding RNA, 337 nt
Filed under: Flavobacterium columnare
Lineage: Bacteria; Pseudomonadati; Bacteroidota; Flavobacteriia; Flavobacteriales; Flavobacteriaceae
Description: partial 16S-23S ribosomal RNA intergenic spacer
Rfam family: tRNA (bases 112-185)
Source: RNAcentral